This 251-nucleotide ribosomal RNA is filed under the name uncultured prokaryote. Its description in RNAcentral is "partial 16S ribosomal RNA". It matches the Rfam family "Bacterial small subunit ribosomal RNA", at positions 525 to 775 of the family's 1533-position model. The record is from RNAcentral.
ACGUAGGAGGCGAGCGUUAUCCGGAAUUACUGGGCGUAAAGGGCGUGUAGGCGGCACGGUAAGUCAACCGUGAAAGCCCCCGGCUCAACCGGGGAAUUGCAGGGGAAACCGCCGCUCUUGAGGCAGGUAGAGGUGACCGGAACGUGUGGUGGAGCGGUGAAAUGCAUAGAUAUCAGAAGGAACAUCGGCGGCGAAAGCGACUCUCUGGCCCGUAACUGACGCUGAGGUGCGAAAGCUAGGGGAGCAAACGG